This 253-nucleotide ribosomal RNA is filed under the name uncultured bacterium. Its description in RNAcentral is "partial 16S ribosomal RNA". It matches the Rfam family "Bacterial small subunit ribosomal RNA", at positions 524 to 776 of the family's 1533-position model. The record is from RNAcentral.
UACGAAGGGGGCUAGCGUUGCUCGGAAUCACUGGGCGUAAAGCGCACGUAGGCGGAUUGCUAAGUCAGGGGUGAAAUCCUGGAGCUCAACUCCAGAACUGCCUUUGAUACUGGCGACCUUGAGUCCGGGAGAGGUGAGUGGAACUGCGAGUGUAGAGGUGAAAUUCGUAGAUAUUCGCAAGAACACCAGUGGCGAAGGCGGGUCUCUGGACAGUUCCUGACGCUGAGGCACGAAGGUCAGGGGAGCAAACGGG